RNAcentral lists this ribosomal RNA (2889 nucleotides) under Bacteroides ovatus. RNAcentral describes it as "23S ribosomal RNA". It matches the Rfam family "Bacterial large subunit ribosomal RNA". The record is from RNAcentral. Lineage: Bacteria; Pseudomonadati; Bacteroidota; Bacteroidia; Bacteroidales; Bacteroidaceae.
AAAGAAAGUAAGCAAGGGCGCAUGGCGGAUGCCUUGGCUCUCGGAGGCGAUGAAGGACGUGAUAAGCUGCGAUAAGCUUCGGGCAGGUGCAAAUAACCUUUGAUCCGAAGAUUUCCGAAUGGGACAACCCGUCAUUCUGAAGGAAUGACAUCUUGCAUAGCAAGAGGCUAACGCAGGGAACUGAAACAUCUUAGUACCUGUAGGAAAAGAAAAUAAUAAUGAUUCCCCUAGUAGUGGCGAGCGAACGGGGAUUAGCCCAAACCAAUGUUGUUACGGCAAUAUUGGGGUUGUAGGACCACGAUGUCGCAAGAAAUUUAGUGAGAAGAAUUCUUUGGAAAAUGAAACCAUAGACGGUGAUAGUCCGGUAUUCGAAGCUAAAUGAAGCGUAGUGGUAUCCUGAGUAGCGCGGGACACGAGGAAUCUUGCGUGAAUCUGCCGGGACCAUCCGGUAAGGCUAAAUACUCCCGAGAGACCGAUAGCGAACCAGUACUGUGAAGGAAAGGUGAAAAGCACUUCGAAUAGAAGAGUGAAAUAGUCCCUGAAACCGUGCGCCUACAAGCGGUCGGAGCUGCUUCAGCAGUGACGGCGUGCCUUUUGCAUAAUGAACCUACGAGUUACUUUUUCCGGCAAGGUUAAGGAUCUUGAGAUCCGCAGCCGAAGCGAAAGCGAGUCUUAACAGGGCGAUUAGUCGGAAGGAGUAGACGCGAAACCAAGUGAUCUACCCUUGGUCAGGUUGAAGGUUAGGUAACACUAACUGGAGGACCGAACCGAUAAGCGUUGAAAAGCUUCCGGAUGAACUGAGGGUGGGGGUGAAAGGCUAAUCAAACUUGGAGAUAGCUCGUACUCCCCGAAAUGCAUUUAGGUGCAGCCUUGGGAAUUACUACUGUGAGGUAGAGCGACUGAUAAGAUGCGAGGGCUUCACCGCCUAUCAAGUCUUGAUAAACUCCGAAUGCGCAGUAGUUCGAUCCCAGGAGUGAGGGCAUGGGUGCUAAGGUCCAUGUCCUAAAGGAGAAGAAUCCAGACCAUCAGCUAAGGUCCCGAAAUAAUUGCUAAGUUGAACUAACGAAGUCAGAUUGCUAAGACAGCUAGGAUGUUGGCUUGGAAGCAGCCAUUCAUUUAAAGAGUGCGUAACAGCUCACUAGUCGAGGAGUUUGGCGUGGAUAAUAAUCGGGCAUUAAGCAAUUUACCGAAGCUAUGGGAUGUUAACUAAACACUAACAUCGGUAGGGGAGCAUUCCACUCUGCGUCGAAGGUGAAGCGUGAGCUUUGCUGGAGCGUGUGGAAAAGCAAAUGUAGGUAUAAGUAACGAUAAAGGGGGUGAGAAACCCCCUCGCCGAAAGACUAAGGUUUCCUGAUCAACGCUAAUCGGAUCAGGGUUAGUCGGGUCCUAAGGCUCAGCCGAACGGUGAGGCCGAUGGCAGAACAGGUUAAUAUUCCUGUACUACCUUAAGGAGUGACGUGGAGACGGAGGAGUGACAACGCCGCGGACUGACGGAAUAGUCCGUUGAAGGGUGUAGAUGUUGAUUAUCCCAGGCAAAUCCGGGAUAAGAGUCGAACCUGAUAGUAUACCAAAUUCUUCGGAAUAAGGUAAUAGUGCGUGUAAGCAUACUCCCAAGAAAAUCCGCUAAACUUAAUCUUUAAGGUACCCGUACCGCAAACGGACACACGUAGUCGGGUUGAAUAUACUAAGGCGCUUGAGUGAUUCACGGUUAAGGAACUAGGCAAAUUGACCCUGUAACUUCGGGAUAAAGGGUCCCAACGAGAGUUGGGCGCAGAGAAUAGGUCCAGGCAACUGUUUAACAAAAACACAGGGCUGUGCUAAAUUGAAAGAUUACGUAUACAGCCUGACACCUGCCCGGUGCUGGAAGGUUAAGAGGAGAUGUCAUCGCAAGAGAAGCAUUGAAUUGAAGCCCCAGUAAACGGCGGCCGUAACUAUAACGGUCCUAAGGUAGCGAAAUUCCUUGUCGGGUAAGUUCCGACCUGCACGAAUGGUGUAAUGAUCUGGACACUGUCUCAACCGUGAGCUCAGUGAAAUUGUAGUAUCGGUGAAGAUGCCGAUUACCCGCGAUGGGACGAAAAGACCCCGUGAACCUUUACUAUAGCUUAACAUUGAAUUUGGGUAAUUGAUGUGUAGGAUAGGCCGGAGACUUUGAAGCAGGUACGCCAGUAUUUGUGGAGUCGCUGUUGAAAUACGGCCCUUUGAUUAUUUGAGUUCUAACUCGUAGAUACGAGGACACUGUUUGGUGGGUAGUUUGACUGGGGUGGUCGCCUCCAAAAGUGUAACGGAGGCUUCUAAAGGUGCCCUCAGGACGAUUGGUAACCGUCCGUAGAGUGUAAUGGCAUAAGGGCGCUUGACUGGGAGACAGACAAGUCGAUCAGGUAGGAAACUAGAGCAUAGUGAUCCGGUGUUUCCGUAUGGAAGGGACAUCGCUCAAAGGAUAAAAGGUACUCCGGGGAUAACAGGCUGAUCCCUCCCAAGAGCUCAUAUCGACGGAGGGGUUUGGCACCUCGAUGUCGGCUCGUCACAUCCUGGGGCUGGAGAAGGUCCCAAGGGUUGGGCUGUUCGCCCAUUAAAGUGGCACGCGAGCUGGGUUCAGAACGUCGUGAGACAGUUCGGUCUCUAUCUAUCGUGGGCGUAUGAAAUUUGCGUGGCUCUGACACUAGUACGAGAGGACCGUGUUGGACUGACCGCUGGUUUACCAGUUGUGCCGCCAGGUGCAUUGCUGGGUAUCUAAGUCGGGAUUGGAUAAGUGCUGAAAGCAUCUAAGUACGAAGCCAGCCACAAGAUUAGAUUUCUUAGGGUCGUCAAAGACGAUGACGUUGAUAGGAUGCAGGUGUAAAGGUGGUAACAUCAAAGCCGAGCAUUACUAAUUGCCCGUUCACUUUCUUU